RNAcentral lists this ribosomal RNA (468 nucleotides) under uncultured bacterium. Its description in RNAcentral is "partial 16S ribosomal RNA". It matches the Rfam family "Bacterial small subunit ribosomal RNA", at positions 28 to 507 of the family's 1533-position model. The record is from RNAcentral.
GACGAACGCUGGCGGCGUGCUUAACACAUGCAAGUCGAACGGAAAGGCCCUGCUUUUGUGGGGUGCUCGAGUGGCGAACGGGUGAGUAACACGUGAGUAACCUGCCCUUGACUUUGGGAUAACUUCAGGAAACUGGGGCUAAUACCGGAUAGGAGCUCCUGCUGCAUGGUGGGGGUUGGAAAGUUUCGGCGGUUGGGGAUGGACUCGCGGCUUAUCAGCUUGUUGGUGGGGUAGUGGCUUACCAAGGCUUUGACGGGUAGCCGGCCUUGGAGGGGGACCGGCCACAUUGGGACUGAGAUACGGCCCAGACUCGUACGGGAGGCAACGGUGGGGAAUAUUGCAGAAUGGCCGGAAGCCUGAUGCAGCAACGCCGCGUGCGGAAUAAUGGCCUUCGGGUUGUAAACCGCUUUGGACUGUAACGAAGCGGGAGUGACGGUAAUGGGUAAAGAAGCACCGGCUAACUACGUG